Molecule: long non-coding RNA, 197 nt
Organism: Poeciliopsis prolifica (blackstripe livebearer)
Lineage: Eukaryota; Metazoa; Chordata; Actinopteri; Cyprinodontiformes; Poeciliidae
Exons: 3
Source: RefSeq, a predicted model, not a curated record
CCGGUUUAGACCUCUGUUGCUGUGCAGCGCCAGUAGCACACUCAGGUGUGCACGUUGAUCGCUCCUUCUUCUGGUGGCCUGUGUAAAUUGCCUGAUCCUCCUCCCAGCCAGAGGCACUACACAUAGAGCUUGUGGAAAGGCCAGUUCGUGGUGUUGGUGGUGGACUUUCCGGGUGGUGGUACUCUUUUGAUUUGCUG